This 320-nucleotide ribosomal RNA is filed under the name uncultured bacterium. RNAcentral describes it as "bacterial SSU rRNA". It matches the Rfam family "Bacterial small subunit ribosomal RNA", at positions 470 to 789 of the family's 1533-position model. The record is from RNAcentral.
UGCAUGUACCCGAAGAAUAAGGACCGGCUAAUUCCGUGCCAGCAGCCGCGGUAAUACGGAAGGUCCGGGCGUUAUCCGGAUUUAUUGGGUUUAAAGGGAGCGCAGGCUGUCCUUUAAGCGUGCUGUGAAAUGUAGGCGCUCAACGUCUGCACUGCAGCGCGAACUGGAGGACUUGAGUACGCGGGAAGUAGGCGGAAUUCGUCGUGUAGCGGUGAAAUGCUUAGAUAUGACGAAGAACUCCGAUUGCGAAGGCAGCUUACUGUAGCGCCACUGACGCUAAAGCUCGAAAGUGCGGGUAUCGAACAGGAUUAGAUACCCUG